UGCAGGAAAAGAUUGUGAGAUCGCUUAGUUUGAAGACCUCAUUUGAUGAACUAGAUACUUACACUCUGAUGUGGUCAUUGCGUCCGUUUGUAGAAGACGAGAUUAUGAACAGAGCAUGGAAAUGUAUCUACUAAUACACACUUAUUCAAUCAGUCUGUCACUUAUUCAAUCAGUUUUGUUCGAUUAGUUUUUAGUUCGUUACUUUGUUUCCCAUUUAUUGAAAAGAAAGCAAAUACGGGCCCUAUUACAAACACAAGCUUUGUUCACAUGGUUGAUUGGUCUCAAGACUCUCAACUGAAUUGAAUAAACUAAUAUGAUUAGGUUGCUAGUGAUUUUACUAAACAUAUUAGUGAAGAACUCAUGUUUGCAUCUUUGUGUUGGUAAAUCUAUUUAGCUUAUGAGAGUAACAUCUCGUUUUAGUUUUAUAGAUCAUGAGAGUGACAUUAUUAAUUUUUACUGAAAAACAAUGGAUGAUUUUUUUUUUUGAUCAAAAAACAAUGGAUGAUUUUUUUUUUGAUCAAAAAACAAUGGAUGAUUAUGAUACUGUUUUUUGCAGGAAAAGAUUGUGAGAUCGCUUAGUUUGAAGACCUCAUUUGAUGAACUAGAUACUUACACUCUGAUGUGGUCAUUGCGUCCGUUUGUAGAAGACGAGAUUAUGAACAGAGCAUGGAAAUGUAUCUACUAAUACACACUUAUUCAAUCAGUCUGUCACUUAUUCAAUCAGUUUUGUUCGAUUAGUUUGUUACUUUGUUUCCCAUUUAUUGAAAAGAAAGCAAAUACAAG
This 783-nucleotide long non-coding RNA is filed under the name Brassica napus (rape). Its description in RNAcentral is "long non-coding RNA (BNAP_LNC013877)". The record is from RNAcentral. Lineage: Eukaryota; Viridiplantae; Streptophyta; Magnoliopsida; Brassicales; Brassicaceae.